GACGGGCACCCGCACAAGCAGUGGAGUAUGUUCAUUAAUUCGACGCAACGCGAAGAACCUUACCAGGGUUUGACAUCCUGCUAACGAGAUAGAGAUAUGUUAGGUGCCCCUUAUGGGGAAAGCAGAGACAGGUGGUGCAUGGUUGUCGUCAGCUCGUGUCGUGAGAUGUUGGGUUAAGUCCCGCAACGAGCGCAACCCCUAUUGUUAGUUGCUACGCAAGAGCACUCUAGCGAGACUGCCGUUGACAAAACGGAGGAAGGUGGGGACGACGUCAAAUCAUCAUGCCCCUUAUAUCCUGGGCUUGAAACGUACUACAAUGGCGAAGAACAAAGGGAUGCGAAGCCGCGAGGCAGAGCGAACCCCCAAAAUUCGUCCCAGUUCAGAUUGUAGGCUGCAGCCCGCCUGCAUGAAGUCGGAAUUGCUAGUAAUCGUGGAUCAGCAUGCCACGGUGAAUACGUUCCCGGGUGUUGUACACACCGCCCGUCAAGCCAUGAGAAUCGCAAACACCCGAAGUCAGUAGUCUAACCGGAAGGAGGGCGCUGCCGAAUUUGGGUGUGGG
RNAcentral lists this ribosomal RNA (559 nucleotides) under uncultured bacterium. Its description in RNAcentral is "bacterial SSU rRNA". It matches the Rfam family "Bacterial small subunit ribosomal RNA", at positions 912 to 1472 of the family's 1533-position model. The record is from RNAcentral.